CUCCUUCGGCGAACUGCUCAGUAACACCCCGGAUAAUCUGCCCUUAGGUGGAGGAUAACCUCGGGAAACUGAUUAAUAAUACUCCAUAGAUCUUUGAGGCUGGAAUGCGCUAAGAUUGAAAGCUUCGGCGCCUAAGGAUGAGUCUGCGGACUAUCAGGUUGUAGUCAGGGUAAAGACCUGACUAGCCUACGACGGAUACGGGUUGUGAGAGCAAUAACCCGGAGAUGAUAUCUGAGACACGAUAUCAGGCUCUACGGGGCGCAGCAGGCGCGAAAACUUCACAAUGCGCGAAAGCGCGAUGAGGGGAUCCCAAGUGCUUGCACGUAAGUGUAAGCUGUUUUUCUGUUUAAAAAGCAGAGAGAGUAAGAGCUGGGUAAGACGGGUGCCAGUCGCCGCGGUAAUACCUGCAGCUCAAGUGGUGGCCGCUAUUAUUGGGCCUAAAACGUCCGUAGCCGGCUAAGUAAAUGCCUGGGUAAAUCGUGCCGCUUAACGGUACGAAUUCCGGGUAGACUGCUUAGCUUGGGACCGGAAGAAGUUAGAGGUACUCCUGGGGUAGGGGUGAAAUCCUGUAAUCCUGGGGGGACCACCAGUGGCGAAGGCGUCUAACUAGGACGGGUCUGACGGUGAGGGACGAAGCCCUGGGGCGCAAACCGGAUUAGAUACCCGGGUAGUCCAGGGUGUAAACGCUGCUUGCUUGAUGUUAGCUGGGCUCCGAGCUCAGCUAGUGUCGGAGAGAAGUU
RNAcentral lists this ribosomal RNA (740 nucleotides) under uncultured archaeon. RNAcentral's name for it is "bacterial SSU rRNA". It matches the Rfam family "Archaeal small subunit ribosomal RNA", at positions 73 to 813 of the family's 1478-position model. The record is from RNAcentral.